This 691-nucleotide ribosomal RNA is filed under the name uncultured Genea. Its description in RNAcentral is "eukaryotic LSU rRNA". It matches the Rfam family "Eukaryotic large subunit ribosomal RNA", at positions 1 to 690 of the family's 3401-position model. The record is from RNAcentral. Lineage: Eukaryota; Fungi; Ascomycota; Pezizomycetes; Pezizales; Pyronemataceae.
UUGACCUCGGAUCAGGUAGGGAUACCCGCUGAACUUAAGCAUAUCAAUAAGCGGAGGAAAAGAAACCAACCGGGAUUGCCUUAGUAACUGCGAGUGAAGUGGCAAAAGCUCAAAAUUGAAAUCCGGUACCUUUGGUGCCUGAGUUGUAAUUUGGAGAGACAAAUUUGGUUGAUGGCACCGGCCUAGGUUCCUUUGAACAGGACGACAUAGAGGGUGAGAAUCCCGUGCCUGGCUGGGUUAUUUGCUGUCACACGCUAAAUUGUCUUCGACGAGUCGAGUUGUUUGGGAAUGCAGCUCAAAAUGGGUGGUAAAUGUCAUCUAAAGCUAAAUAUUGGCGAGAGACCGAUAGCGCACAAGUAGAGUGAUCGAAAGAUGAAAAGCACUUUGAAAAGAGAGUCAAAAAGUACGUGAAAUUGCUGAAAGGGAAGCGCUUGAGAUCAGACUCGAGCUGUGGUGAUCACCCGUGCUUCUGUGCGGUGUAACUUGCCACGGUUUGGGCCAGCAUCGGUUCUGGCGGUCGGAUAAAAGGUGGAGGAAUGUAGCUUCCCUUGGGGAGUGUUAUUUAGCCUCCACCACAAUGCGGCCAGCUGGGACCGAGGACUGCGUGGAAAUUUUCCGCUAGGAUGCUGGCGUAAUGGUCUUAAGCGACCCGUCUUGAAACACGGACCAAGGAGUCUAACAUUUAUGCGAG